CCUCUGUACCUUUUAUAGGCUUCCUUGAUCUUAAGAACUUGGAAUAUUUGGAUUUGAGUUACAAUACUUUAGACAAUAGCAUAUUUCAAACCAUCGGUAAGGCCUAUUUGACUUAAAUCAUCU
Molecule: long non-coding RNA, 123 nt
Organism: Populus euphratica (Euphrates poplar)
Lineage: Eukaryota; Viridiplantae; Streptophyta; Magnoliopsida; Malpighiales; Salicaceae
Exons: 4
Source: RefSeq, a predicted model, not a curated record